GAAAAAUCCUGUUUACAAAAAUUAACAAACAGUUCUCUUUAUUUGAUCCUCACUAAGACCCAGGAGGGCAGAUACUUCAAUUCCCAUUGCAUAGAGAGGGAGAUGGAAUUGGUUGUGAUGGUGGGGGUAUGCAAUGAUUGGCCUAAGGACAAGCCAACAAAGGAUGAGGGCUGGAAAAUUAUCUUGGGGUGCCUAUCCUCCAGCCCAAAGGCAUCUAUCCACAAGCCCCUUCCUCUGAAAUAGAGUCCUUGUCCACUGUUUCCAGUUGAACUCCAGAGACCUGGUGCCUUCAGAAGAGCAGGAUGUACAGGUGGGCUAGUUGCUGAGUAUUUCAGAUGAGAAGGCCCCAAAUCAGGAACAGAGUGAUUGCCUGUCACCGAGAGUGUGAAGAAUAGCUCAAGCAGCACAUCACAAGAAUAGGUGAAAUUCUUUUGAAGUUUCCCAUUAAAAUUCAUGUCUAUUUACAUUCAACUUUAAGAACUGUGCUUCGUGAUUCCCUUGAAGUAUCUGGCAAUGAAUCUGGAACAACAGAGGGAAUAGGCCUUGAGAAGGGAUGAUGUAAAGUAUUGUGAUGCUCCGACCAUUGCAUCUGGCACUAGCACACAAAGGGACUCUUCGUGUAAGGUCUGGGUUCACAAGAGUCGAUGAACUUUUCCCCUCAUCAGUGUUGAUAGGAGGACCAUCAAUGUUUUCUCUCUCUCCCACAGCCCAAUGAAUGUCAGGCCCCCAGCUUGUUAACUGCUGAUUUGGCCAUCAUUAGUCCCUGCUCCAGCUGACGGCCCAUUUAUCUUGCCUUCACACAUCACCAUGCCAACAGAUGAUGGUAUAUAGGUAUUCUUCUAUUACGCCUAAGUAGCACUUUGAAGCAUGUUUCAACUUAAAGUGACACACAAAUCUAACUUCCCUUGUCCUUUAAUUUGACUCAGUGGUAGCACUAUGGGAAUAACAGACAAUGCAUAGCCUAUUAGCAAUUAUAGUGUGAAUCACUGUUACAUUCUGUCAUCUUGGUAUUUAUUUAAUGCAG
This is a long non-coding RNA of Heterocephalus glaber (naked mole-rat), 1024 nucleotides long. NCBI's taxonomy places the organism in Eukaryota, Metazoa, Chordata, Mammalia, Rodentia, Bathyergidae. The record is from Ensembl.